UCCGGUUCAUCACCGGCAGUCUCCUUAGAGUCCCCACCAUUACAUGUUGGCAACUAAGGAUAAGGGUUGCGCUCGUUACGGGACUUAACCCAACAUCUCACAACACGAGCUGACGACAGCCAUGCAGCACCUGUCUCUAAGUUCCUUGCGGCACUCCGAUAUCUCUACCAGAUUCUUAGGAUGUCAAGGGUAGGUAAGGUUCUUCGCGUUGCAUCGAAUUAAACCACAUGCUCCACCGCUUGUGCGGGCCCCCGUCAAUUCCUUUGAGUUUUAACCUUGCGGCCGUACUCCCCAGGCGGAGAACUUAUCGCGUUAGCUUCGAUACUAAUAGGUCAAGCCUACCAACAUCUAGUUCUCAUCGUUUACAGCGUGGACUAC
This 378-nucleotide unclassified non-coding RNA is filed under the name uncultured Gammaproteobacteria bacterium. RNAcentral describes it as "contains 16S-23S intergenic spacer region". Lineage: Bacteria; Pseudomonadati; Pseudomonadota; Gammaproteobacteria. The record is from RNAcentral.